This is a long non-coding RNA of Nicotiana tabacum (common tobacco), 459 nucleotides long. RefSeq lists it as uncharacterized. Lineage: Eukaryota; Viridiplantae; Streptophyta; Magnoliopsida; Solanales; Solanaceae. The record is from RefSeq and is a predicted model, not a curated record.
UUUUCUUUCAUUGUAUUUGAUGCAUAACUUUUUCUCCCCAAGACCAAUUUCAUUCUCUUUCUCUUCCAUUUUAUCAAAUUAAACCUAGACCUUAAUUCUUUAGGUUGGUUGGUGAAAUUAUGGAUUGAUAAGGCUGGUUCAGGGAUGGGCGAGUCUGAUUUUUGAAAAUCUGUUUUUAGGGGUACGAGUAGGGCAGUGCAGUGGCGAUGGUGGUGGCACUGCAGCGACAGCCACAAUGCAGAGCGGUGGGUGGUGGAGUUUUCUAUGUGGAUGUCUAACAGAUGAUAGAAAAGAAAAGGUGGAUGGAAAGGAUUGUGUUUUAAGAGUUGCAUAUGCUGACCAUUCUAUGCCAAUAACAUACGAAGCACCACACUAAAUUUGGAAUUUUAUAUAGUGUAUAAAAAUUAUAUAUACACAUUUAUAUAUUGUAUAAUUUUUGUAUAUAAAGUGUAUCGUACA